This 248-nucleotide ribosomal RNA is filed under the name uncultured Actinomycetales bacterium. RNAcentral describes it as "partial 16S ribosomal RNA". It matches the Rfam family "Bacterial small subunit ribosomal RNA", at positions 82 to 334 of the family's 1533-position model. Lineage: Bacteria; Bacillati; Actinomycetota; Actinomycetes; Actinomycetales. The record is from RNAcentral.
CUGGAGUACUCGAGUGGCGAACGGGUGAGUAACACGUGGGUAAUCUGCCCUGCACUUCGGGAUAAGCUUGGGAAACUGGGUCUAAUACCGGAUAGGAGCCAUCUUUAGUGUGGUGGUUGGAAAGUUUUUCGGUGUAGGAUGAGCUCGCGGCCUAUCAGCUUGUUGGUGGGGUAAUGGCCUACCAAGGCGGCGACGGGUAGCCGGCCUGAGAGGGUGUACGGCCACAUUGGGACUGAGAUACGGCCCAG